UUAAAUGAUGAUCAAUUUCCUAUAUUUAAUAUAACUUUCGUUCUACUGAAUAAUGAUCAAACGAUCGUGUAGAAAAAAUAUUUUCUGAAU
Molecule: small nucleolar RNA, 90 nt
Filed under: Eremothecium cymbalariae DBVPG#7215
Lineage: Eukaryota; Fungi; Ascomycota; Saccharomycetes; Saccharomycetales; Saccharomycetaceae
Description: Small nucleolar RNA snR54
Rfam family: Small nucleolar RNA snR54
About the family: snR54 is a member of the C/D class of snoRNA which contain the C (UGAUGA) and D (CUGA) box motifs. Most of the members of the box C/D family function in directing site-specific 2'-O-methylation of substrate RNAs.
Source: Rfam by way of RNAcentral